Meira miltonrushii is the source of this 87-nucleotide non-coding RNA. The record is from the annotation of a RefSeq genome assembly. NCBI's taxonomy places the organism in Eukaryota, Fungi, Basidiomycota, Exobasidiomycetes, Exobasidiales, Brachybasidiaceae.
GGAGAUAUUGUCUAGUGGUUACGACGUCGGUUUCUGAAUUUUGCUUCAAGAAUUCCGAAAGCCUGGGUUCGAACCCCAGUAUCUCCU